AGAGUUUGAUCCUGGCUCAGGACGAACGCUGGCGGCGCGCUUAAUGCAUGCAAGUCGAACGGUGAACCCGACUUCGGUCGGUGGAUCAGUGGCAGACGGCUGAGUAACACGUAAGUAACCAACCCUUGGGUGGGGAAUAACAUUGGGAAACCAAUGCUAAUACCGCAUAGUCUUUGAAAUCAAAUGGUUUCAAUGUAAAGGCUUCGGUCGCCCGAGGACGGGCUUGCGGCUUAUCAGGUUGUUGGUGGGGUAAUGGCCUACCAAGCCUACGACGGGUAACUGGUCUGAGAGGACGAUCAGUCAGAGGGGGACUGCGACACGGCCCCCACUCCUACGGGAGGCAGCAGCAGGGAAUCUUGCGCAAUGGACGAAAGUCUGACGCAGCGACGCCGCGUGAAGGAAGAAGGCUCUAGGGUUGUAAACUUCUUUUCUGAGGGAAGAGUAAGGACGGUACCUCAGGAAUAAGCCUCGGCUAACUACGUGCCAGCAGCCGCGGUAAUACGUAGGAGGCAAGCGUUGUCCGGAUUUAUUGGGCGUAAAGGGCGUGCAGGUGGCAUAGAAAGUUUUUGUUGAAAUCUCCCGGCUUAACUGGGAGGGGUGCAAGAAUACUUCUAAGCUAGAGGGCAGUAGAGGAAAGUGGAAUUCAUGGUGUAGUGGUGAAAUGCGUAGAUAUCAUGAGGAACACCAGUGGCGAAAGCGGCUUUCUGGGCUGCACCUGACACUGAGGCGCGAAAGCAUGGGUAGCAAACCGGAUUAGAUACCCGGGUAGUCCAUGCCAUAAACGAUGGAUACUGAGUAUGGGGGGUAUCGACCCCUUCUGUGCUGAAGCUAACGCGUUAAGUAUCCCGCCUGGGAACUACGGUCGCAAGACUAAAACUCAAAGGAAUUGACGGGGCCCCGCACAAGCAGCGGAGCGUGUGGUUUAAUUCGAU
This 932-nucleotide ribosomal RNA is filed under the name marine metagenome. RNAcentral's name for it is "bacterial SSU rRNA". It matches the Rfam family "Bacterial small subunit ribosomal RNA", at positions 8 to 955 of the family's 1533-position model. The record is from RNAcentral.